GCCAUACCAUAAAUUUCACUUACACUUAAAACGCCAGGGUACUACGAGCCCCGCUUAAAACCCAAAGGAUUUGACGGUGUUCCACCCAACUAGAGGAGCCUGUUCUAUAAUCGACAAUCCACGAUCUACCUAACCAUUUUUUGCUACUCAGCCCGUAUACCUCCGUCGUAAGCUUAUCAUUUGAAUGAGGAAAAGUAAGCACAAGGACUAAAAGCCAAAACGUCAGGUCAAGGUGCAGCUUAUAAAAUGGAAGAAAUGAGCUACAAUUUCUAAUUUAGAACACACGAAUUACUGCAUGAAACAAAGUCAUGAAGGUGGAUUUAGCAGUAAGUAAGGAAUAGAGAGCCUUACUUAAUUUGGCCCUGGAACG
This 370-nucleotide ribosomal RNA is filed under the name Polypedates leucomystax (Java whipping frog). Its description in RNAcentral is "partial 12S ribosomal RNA". It matches the Rfam family "Bacterial small subunit ribosomal RNA", at positions 794 to 1381 of the family's 1533-position model. Lineage: Eukaryota; Metazoa; Chordata; Amphibia; Anura; Rhacophoridae. The record is from RNAcentral.